This 220-nucleotide long non-coding RNA is filed under the name Mytilus galloprovincialis (Mediterranean mussel). The record is from RNAcentral. Lineage: Eukaryota; Metazoa; Mollusca; Bivalvia; Mytilida; Mytilidae.
CUCGUUUAAUUUUCAUAAAAUUUUGACAAAAUAUUUACUUUGACCCUUAGAAAAAAAAUAUAAAAAUUUCAGAAAAUUUGAACCAAUCACUUUUUCGGAAAAAAAUGGUUGAAUAGAUAGCAGUUUGGCAAACACUAAUUUUGAUCAUUGAGAAGCUUAAUAGUUCCCUUACAAUACAACGUGAUUAAAACUCUUAGCUGAUUUUACAGAGUUAUCUCCC